This 451-nucleotide ribosomal RNA is filed under the name uncultured bacterium. RNAcentral describes it as "partial 16S ribosomal RNA". It matches the Rfam family "Bacterial small subunit ribosomal RNA", at positions 29 to 507 of the family's 1533-position model. The record is from RNAcentral.
AACGAACGCUGGCGGCAGGCUUAACACAUGCAAGUCGAGCGCCCCGCAAGGGGAGCGGCAGACGGGUGAGUAACGCGUGGGAACGUACCUUUUGGUUCGUAACAACUCCGGGAAACUGGAGCUAAUACCGGAUAAGCCCUAACGGGGAAAGAUUUAUCGCCGAAAGAUCGGCCCGCGUCUGAUUAGCUAGUUGGCGAGGUAACGGCUCACCAAGGCGACGAUCAGUAGCUGGUCUGAGAGGAUGAUCAGCCACACUGGAACUGAGACACGGCCCAGACUCGGAAGGGAGGAAGCAGUGAGGAAGAGUGGGCAAGGGGGGAGAGCGUGAACCAGCAAAGUAGCGGGCAGGAGGACGGCCCUAGGGGGGGGAAACUGCUUUUAUGCGGGGAUAAAGUGAGGGACGGGUCCUUCAUUGCAGGUACCGGAUGAAUAAGGACCGGCUAACUCCGUG